This 439-nucleotide ribosomal RNA is filed under the name uncultured bacterium. RNAcentral's name for it is "bacterial SSU rRNA". It matches the Rfam family "Bacterial small subunit ribosomal RNA", at positions 340 to 773 of the family's 1533-position model. The record is from RNAcentral.
UACGGAAGGCAGCAGUGGGGAAUAUUGCACAAUGGGCGCAAGCCUGAUGCAGCCAUGCCGCGUGUAUGAAGAAGGCCUUCGGGUUGUAAAGUACUUUCAGUCGUGAGGAAGGUGUUAAGGUUAAUAACCUUAGCAAUUGACGUUAGCGACAGAAGAAGCACCGGCUAACUCCGUGCCAGCAGCCGCGGUAAUACGGAGGGUGCGAGCGUUAAUCGGAAUUACUGGGCGUAAAGGGCACGCAGGCGGUUAAUUAAGUUGGAUGUGAAAUCCCCGGGCUUAACCUGGGAAUGGCAUCCAAGACUGGUUAGCUAGAGUCUUGUAGAGGGGGUAGAAUUCCAUGUGUAGCGGUGAAAUGCGUAGAGAUGUGGAGGAAUACCGGUGGCGAAGGCGGCCCCUGGACAAAGACUGACGCUCAUGUGCGAAAGCGUGGGGAGCAAAC